UGUGUGCAAUUUGAAGCUCUGAUACUUGUAGAAGUAUAAAUGCUACAAACUUAUAAAACAUCACCUGAGAGUCCACUUGAAUUUCUUCUAAAUUCAUUCAGUUUUGUAAAUUUUAAACAUUAAGCUCUUAAUUUUACUUUUUUGUUUCAGCCCAUUGUUUGCCAUCUUCAAGAGGGGUUGAAACAAAAAAUUAAAAUUAAAAGCUUAACAUCUAAGAUUUAUAAAAUUAAAUGAGUUUAGAAGAAAUUCAAGUAAACUUUCAAGUGAUGCUUUGUGUCUGUAGCAUUUAUACUUCUGCGGCAGUGUCCUGGAGUGUCCACAUACACUGUAUUAAAGCUUAAAAUUGCACCAAGACUUUUGGGACACCUAUUUCACUAUCUGCUUAUUCCUGGACUAACAGGUCGGCUGGAAUUAUGAAAAUAUCCUUUAAUACAAGUAUUUAACAAAGAGGAAAAUCGUCAGAAAAUGAGAAGCACCAUUAGAGUUAACAAGAAACACAGCACGGACCCAAUAGAAGUAGGUAACAACAUACUUUCUCUGCUUAUGAUCCCAAACAUGCUAAUAUGCUAAUAAGUAGUGUUUGCAAAAAAUUUGAAUGACAAGUGUUAUUCAGCAGCUUUUUGGUUUGAACUGAUUGCCAAAAAUGACUAGCAGCUUCAAUGAAAUAGUAG
This 671-nucleotide long non-coding RNA is filed under the name Bos taurus (domestic cattle). RNAcentral's name for it is "long non-coding RNA NONBTAT011558". Lineage: Eukaryota; Metazoa; Chordata; Mammalia; Artiodactyla; Bovidae. The record is from RNAcentral.